RNAcentral lists this ribosomal RNA (106 nucleotides) under Escherichia coli HVH 26 (4-5703913). Lineage: Bacteria; Pseudomonadati; Pseudomonadota; Gammaproteobacteria; Enterobacterales; Enterobacteriaceae. The record is from RNAcentral.
UAGCGCGGUGGUCCCACCUGACCCCAUGCCGAACUCAGAAGUGAAACGCCGUAGCGCCGAUGGUAGUGUGGGGUUUCCCCAUGCGAGAGUAGGGAACUGCCAGACA